CCGGGCUCGGGGCUCGGCACUCCGGGCUCGGGGCUCGGAACUCCGGGCUCAGGCUCCGGGCUCGGCACUCCGGGCUCGGGGCUCGGGGGCUCAGG
This 95-nucleotide transfer RNA is filed under the name Streptomyces griseorubens. RNAcentral's name for it is "tRNA-Pro". Lineage: Bacteria; Bacillati; Actinomycetota; Actinomycetes; Kitasatosporales; Streptomycetaceae. The record is from RNAcentral.